UACGGAGGGUGCAAGCGUUAUCCGGAUUCACUGGGUUUAAAGGGUGCGUAGGUGGGCAGGUAAGUCAGUGGUGAAAUCUCCGGGCUCAACCCGGAAACUGCCAUUGAUACUAUCAGUCUUGAAUAUCGUGGAGGUAAGCGGAAUAUGCCAUGUAGCGGUGAAAUGCGUAGAUAUCUGGAGGAACACCGGUGGCGAAGGCGGCAUCCUGGACCAAUUCUGACGCUGAGGAGCGAAAGCCAGGGGAGCAAACGGG
RNAcentral lists this ribosomal RNA (253 nucleotides) under uncultured bacterium. RNAcentral describes it as "partial 16S ribosomal RNA". It matches the Rfam family "Bacterial small subunit ribosomal RNA", at positions 524 to 776 of the family's 1533-position model. The record is from RNAcentral.